CAGACUAGAGUGAUGUAGGGGAGACUGGAAUUCCUGGUGUAGCGGUGAAAUGCGCAGAUAUCAGGAGGAACACCGAUGGCGAAGGCAGGUCUCUGGGCAUUAACUGACGCUGAGGAGCGAAAGCAUGGGGAGCGAACAGGAUUAGAUACCCUGGUAGUCCAUGCCGUAAACGUUGGGCACUAGGUGUGGGGGACAUUCCACGUUUUCCGCGCCGUAGCUAACGCAUUAAGUGCCCCGCCUGGGGAGUACGGCCGCAAGGCUAAAACUCAAAGGAAUUGACGGGGGCCCGCACAAGCGGCGGAGCAUGCGGAUUAAUUCGAUGCAACGCGAAGAACCUUACCAAGGCUUGACAUGAACCGGUAAUACCUGGAGACAGGUGCCCCGCUUGCGGUCGGUUUACAGGUGGUGCAUGGUUGUCGUCAGCUCGUGUCGUGAGAUGUUGGGUUAAGUCCCGCAACGAGCGCAACCCUCGUUCUAUGUUGCCAGCACGUGAUGGUGGGGACUCAUAGGAGACUGCCGGGGUCAACUCGGAGGAAGGUGGGGACGACGUCAAAUCAUCAUGCCCCUUAUGUCUUGGGCUUCACGCAUGCUACAAUGGCCGGUACAAAGGGUUGCGAUACUGUGAGGUGGAGCUAAUCCCAAAAAGCCGGUCUCAGUUCGGAUUGGGGUCUGCAACUCGACCCCAUGAAGUCGGAGUCGCUAGUAAUCGCAGAUCAGCAACGCUGCGGUGAAUACGUUCCCGGGCCUUGUACACACCGCCCGUCAAGUCACGAAAGUUGGUAACACCCGAAGCCGGUGGCCUAACCCC
RNAcentral lists this ribosomal RNA (808 nucleotides) under Arthrobacter sp. B105-39. Its description in RNAcentral is "bacterial SSU rRNA". It matches the Rfam family "Bacterial small subunit ribosomal RNA", at positions 637 to 1442 of the family's 1533-position model. The record is from RNAcentral. Lineage: Bacteria; Bacillati; Actinomycetota; Actinomycetes; Micrococcales; Micrococcaceae.